Molecule: non-coding RNA, 243 nt
Organism: Vicia faba (fava bean)
Lineage: Eukaryota; Viridiplantae; Streptophyta; Magnoliopsida; Fabales; Fabaceae
Source: the annotation of a GenBank genome assembly
AUGGUGGGGUGUUUCCCUUCAACACCCAAGAAACUGGCAAUGACCAUUGCAUGUUCCCUCUCUGGAGCUGCCGUUUUAGCUCUUGGGAUGCACCUUUCUUAUGCCAAUGUUGAACCCCAACGUGCCCGAACUAUGGCUCGGGAUAAAUUCGUCUUAGAUACCUUGAGAAAGAAGUAUGGUUACAUUCCUCCAUCAGAGGCCCGAAGUAUGGCUCGCACUGAUUCCCCAAAAGAAAAUAGCUGA